AGCUCUUCUACUGCAGCGGCAUGGUCCUGGUUCCAUUUUUGUUGUUCUUCCAGGAGUCUUCCAUGUUCUGCUUGCGUGUUCUGGAUGUCGAGGAGGGUGUUGUCGGUAUGAGUGAAGAAAGCACCGGCCUCUUGAUAGUAGUCAUUCGUGAAGGCGUAGGAGGCGUCGGAGUAUCGUCCUGCAUCAAAUUGGGGUGGAGGUCUGGAUCCUGAAGCUCCAUAUGGAUCAGUGGAGUACCUGCCCGUAUGAAAAGGCGGGUUUGUCCACUGGUGAUCUUGGCUCUCCGGCCAUGUCUCCUCUGUUGG
RNAcentral lists this long non-coding RNA (305 nucleotides) under Sorghum bicolor (sorghum). Its description in RNAcentral is "long non-coding RNA (SBIC_LNC008028)". Lineage: Eukaryota; Viridiplantae; Streptophyta; Magnoliopsida; Poales; Poaceae. The record is from RNAcentral.